CUCUCUGUCCCACUCCUCACAUCAAAUCCCAUUUUAAACGAAUAGUUAAUCUCCAGAUGCGUACAUUCUACUACCCAUAGCACAUUUGACUCCUAAUGUUAAUCAAUUUGGGCAGUGUUUACAUAAUAGCAUGAAACCUCUCUCAAAAACUAACCACGACAUGUCAUGCACUCAUCAUUCACGACUACAAACCCAAAACUCAAAACUAUUACAAGGUUUAAACCCUCAUUUCAUAAGAUAUUAAAUACUGAACUGAUUGUGCCAAAAGCUUAAACAAGACUAAUAGGCAAAUUAAACUACUCUCAACAUGGGUUUAUGAUCAUAUAUCAUAAAAACAACUCCAAUCCAUAACAAAACAACAUCACAGUACCAUUAGAACACAUCACAAUACCCUUCAAAUAGCAGACUACACUUGUCAUUUUGUCCCUAGCCUAUACUUGUCAUUGUAGCAAGUUCAAUAUGGAAUCAACACCAAGAAUGAACACUGACUUCAGCAAAAUUAAAGCAGAUCAUGUAACUAGAAUAAACCUUCUACUGCAUUAUCUUAAUAGUCCUAAAUUAAGUACAAUGAUGAAAACUCCACUAUCCAAACUAGAAAUUAACUAAAAGAUACAGUGAAUCUGGCUAUUAAAACACCAUAUAAUGAAGAAAUACAACUGAAUUCAUAAACAAAUUUGAGGCCAUGCUUCAAACUCUAUUUUUUCAUUUCUCAUACUUCAAGUCUAACUUCACAUUCAGUGGGGUCCAAGAAUAUGUACCUUAAUACAGCAAAAUAACAAAGGAAAUAAGCUUGGAGCCUAAGAGAGAAUAGCAGCAGUAGUUCAGCUAAGAGGAAGCAACAGCAGCAAAGUAUCAGCAACUAAAACAACCACACAAUCAGCAAUUACUCAGCCUUUGACCCAGCUUCAAACCCAGAAUCAAUACCACUUUCAGAGCUUUUGAAAAAUCUGACUAACAGGGAACUUAGGAACCAAACAAUUCCAGGCAAAUUUCAGUAUUUUAGAGUCUAGAAAAAGCUCAGUUGUUCCUAAAGUUUUUCAGUAUUUUUCAGUCUCUAAAAUCUCUAAAAUAUGACUUGUGAAUGAAGCAAUUAGCGUUUUAUAAGGGAGUUUUAGGGCAGCAGAAAUGUGUUUUAGUUUUGCCCUUUAAUCCUUUUUAAAUUUUCAGUUUUGCUCCUAUGUCCUUAGUCUUAAAAUCUGUUUUGAAAAACAGCCCCAAACCCACCUUCCUAGAAGCUUCCCCAGUCAGUUAUACAAUAUUCCCUCGGCCAAUUUCCCUAAACUACCCUUUAGACUUCUUUUAUUUACCUUCAGAAGAUCACAUGUCAAAUUACCCCAAGACCCAUCCCAAACUCAUGGGUCUGUAUACUAACAACCCAAACUUACAAUAUCAAAAUGAAUAAGGAAGAAAGAAAUCUGAUUCAUCAAGCCUUUAAUAAAAUUAAUCGACUAAACCUAAAUAAUUUCGGCUAAAACAAAACUCAAACAGAAACAAUCACAAUAAGAUAUUAAUCCAUAUCCUGCAAUUGAACAGUUACAACUACUGAUUUAAUCAAACUAAAAUUAAUUCAAGCACACAAAAAUACAAGAAUUAGAGAAAGAGAAAAAAACAAGAAACGGACACGAAGAACGGAAGAGAAGAAGGAAUGGUACUGGUCUUAGCCAGAAUAAAUUGACUAAGGUGACGAGCUUGGCCGAGCAUUCGUGGUCUAGUCAAGAGCUGGUGACUCUCGAAAUGAGCCAAAAUUAUCUUUAAUCGAUUAUUCUUAACGAGAACAAUUGCUUAACAGAGGUCCUGAGUCAGAUCGAGUCUUGGGAGCAUAGGAAUCAGAAAAUUAUUUUUCUUUUAAUUUUCAUAUUCAAAAUUGAGGAGAAAAGGUGGGGCUUUCAGGGAAAUUGACUAUGGCUUAAUGUUUGAGGGAGUAUAGGGAGUGGAUGGUGAAAUUUUGGUGUGAUUUGGAGCUUCAACACCACCGGUGGCGAAAUCCGGCGGGUGGCAGGUGGUGGUGAGAGAUGAGAGGUCUGAGAGAUGAAGAAG
Molecule: long non-coding RNA, 2037 nt
Filed under: Nicotiana tabacum (common tobacco)
Lineage: Eukaryota; Viridiplantae; Streptophyta; Magnoliopsida; Solanales; Solanaceae
Description: long non-coding RNA (NTAB_LNC003311)
Source: RNAcentral